GAUGAGGAACGUAGUGAAAUGCGAUAAGUAAUGUGAAUUGCAGAAUUCAGUGAAUCAUCGAAUCUUUGAACGCACAUUGCGCCCUCUGGUAUUCCGGGGGGCAUGCCUGUUCGAGCGUCAUUACAACCCUCAAGCUUUGCUUGGUAUUGGACAUUGCCAGUUUCUGGCAGGUCUUAAAAUCAGUGGCGGUGCCAUUUGGCUUCAAGCGUAGUAAUUCUUCUCGCUUUGGAGAUCCAAGUGGUUACUUGCCAAUAACCCCCAAUUUUUUCAGGUUGACCUCGGAUCAGGUAGGGAUACCCGCUGAACUUAAGCAUAUCAAUAAGCGGAGGA
RNAcentral lists this unclassified non-coding RNA (330 nucleotides) under soil metagenome. RNAcentral describes it as "partial contains 5.8S ribosomal RNA, internal transcribed spacer 2, and large subunit ribosomal RNA". The stretch from base 1 to 120 matches the Rfam family "5.8S ribosomal RNA", at positions 35 to 154 of the family's 154-position model. The record is from RNAcentral.